UAAGGGCGCACGGUGGAUGCCUUGGCACUAGAAGCCGAUGAAGGACGUUACUAACGACGAUAUGCUUUGGGGAGCUGUAAGUAAGCUUUGAUCCAGAGAUUUCCGAAUGGGGAAACCCAGCAUGAGUUAUGUCAUGUUAUCGAUAUGUGAAUACAUAGCAUAUCAGAAGGCACACCCGGAGAACUGAAACAUCUUAGUACCCGGAGGAAGAGAAAGAAAAUUCGAUUCCCUUAGUAGCGGCGAGCGAAACGGGAAGAGCCCAAACCAACAAGCUUGCUUGUUGGGGUUGUAGGACACUCUAUACGGAGUUACAAAGGACGACAUUAGACGAAUCAUCUGGAAAGAUGAAUCAAAGAAGGUAAUAAUCCUGUAGUCGAAAAUGUUGUCUCUCUUGAGUGGAUCCUGAGUACGACGGAGCACGUGAAAUUCCGUCGGAAUCUGGGAGGACCAUCUCCUAAGGCUAAAUACUCUCUAGUGACCGAUAGUGAACCAGUACCGUGAGGGAAAGGUGAAAAGCACCCCGGAAGGGGAGUGAAAUAGAACCUGAAACCGUGUGCUUACAAGUAGUCAGAGCCCGUUAAUGGGUGAUGGCGUGCCUUUUGUAGAAUGAACCGGCGAGUUACGAUUUGAUGCAAGGUUAAGCAGUAAAUGUGGAGCCGUAGCGAAAGCGAGUCUGAAUAGGGCGUUUAGUAUUUGGUCGUAGACCCGAAACCAGGUGAUCUACCCUUGGUCAGGUUGAAGUUCAGGUAACACUGAAUGGAGGACCGAACCGACUUACGUUGAAAAGUGAGCGGAUGAACUGAGGGUAGCGGAGAAAUUCCAAUCGAACCUGGAGAUAGCUGGUUCUCUCCGAAAUAGCUUUAGGGCUAGCCUCAAGUGAUGAUUAUUGGAGGUAGAGCACUGUUUGGACGAGGGGCCCCUCUCGGGUUACCGAAUUCAGACAAACUCCGAAUGCCAAUUAAUUUAACUUGGGAGUCAGAACAUGGGUGAUAAGGUCCGUGUUCGAAAGGGAAACAGCCCAGACCACCAGCUAAGGUCCCAAAAUAUAUGUUAAGUGGAAAAGGAUGUGGCGUUGCCCAGACAACUAGGAUGUUGGCUUAGAAGCAGCCAUCAUUUAAAGAGUGCGUAAUAGCUCACUAGUCGAGUGACACUGCGCCGAAAAUGUACCGGGGCUAAACAUAUUACCGAAGCUGUGGAUUGUCCUUUGGACAAUGGUAGGAGAGCGUUCUAAGGGCGUUGAAGCAUGAUCGUAAGGACAUGUGGAGCGCUUAGAAGUGAGAAUGCCGGUGUGAGUAGCGAAAGACGGGUGAGAAUCCCGUCCACCGAUUGACUAAGGUUUCCAGAGGAAGGCUCGUCCGCUCUGGGUUAGUCGGGUCCUAAGCUGAGGCCGACAGGCGUAGGCGAUGGAUAACAGGUUGAUAUUCCUGUACCACCUAUAAUCGUUUUAAUCGAUGGGGGGACGCAGUAGGAUAGGCGAAGCGUGCGAUUGGAUUGCACGUCUAAGCAGUAAGGCUGAGUAUUAGGCAAAUCCGGUACUCAUUAAGGCUGAGCUGUGAUGGGGAGAAGACAUUGUGUCUUCGAGUCGUUGAUUUCACACUGCCGAGAAAAGCCUCUAGAUAGAAAAUAGGUGCCCGUACCGCAAACCGACACAGGUAGUCAAGAUGAGAAUUCUAAGGUGAGCGAGCGAACUCUCGUUAAGGAACUCGGCAAAAUGACCCCGUAACUUCGGGAGAAGGGGUGCUCUUUAGGGUUAACGCCCAGAAGAGCCGCAGUGAAUAGGCCCAAGCGACUGUUUAUCAAAAACACAGGUCUCUGCUAAACCGUAAGGUGAUGUAUAGGGGCUGACGCCUGCCCGGUGCUGGAAGGUUAAGAGGAGUGGUUAGCUUCUGCGAAGCUACGAAUCGAAGCCCCAGUAAACGGCGGCCGUAACUAUAACGGUCCUAAGGUAGCGAAAUUCCUUGUCGGGUAAGUUCCGACCCGCACGAAAGGCGUAACGAUUUGGGCACUGUCUCAACGAGAGACUCGGUGAAAUCAUAGUACCUGUGAAGAUGCAGGUUACCCGCGACAGGACGGAAAGACCCCGUGGAGCUUUACUGUAGCCUGAUAUUGAAAUUCGGCACAGCUUGUACAGGAUAGGUAGGAGCCUUUGAAACGUGAGCGCUAGCUUACGUGGAGGCGCUGGUGGGAUACUACCCUAGCUGUGUUGGCUUUCUAACCCGCACCACUUAUCGUGGUGGGAGACAGUGUCAGGCGGGCAGUUUGACUGGGGCGGUCGCCUCCUAAAAGGUAACGGAGGCGCUCAAAGGUUCCCUCAGAAUGGUUGGAAAUCAUUCAUAGAGUGUAAAGGCAUAAGGGAGCUUGACUGCGAGACCUACAAGUCGAGCAGGGUCGAAAGACGGACUUAGUGAUCCGGUGGUUCCGCAUGGAAGGGCCAUCGCUCAACGGAUAAAAGCUACCCCGGGGAUAACAGGCUUAUCUCCCCCAAGAGUUCACAUCGACGGGGAGGUUUGGCACCUCGAUGUCGGCUCAUCGCAUCCUGGGGCUGUAGUCGGUCCCAAGGGUUGGGCUGUUCGCCCAUUAAAGCGGUACGCGAGCUGGGUUCAGAACGUCGUGAGACAGUUCGGUCCCUAUCCGUCGUGGGCGUAGGAAAUUUGAGAGGAGCUGUCCUUAGUACGAGAGGACCGGGAUGGACAUACCUCUGGUGUACCAGUUGUCGUGCCAACGGCAUAGCUGGGUAGCUAUGUGUGGACGGGAUAAGUGCUGAAAGCAUCUAAGCAUGAAGCCCCCCUCAAGAUGAGAUUUCCCAACUUCGGUUAUAAGAUCCCUCAAAGAUGAUGAGGUUAAUAGGUUCGAGGUGGAAGCAUGGUGACAUGUGGAGCUGACGAAUACUAA
RNAcentral lists this ribosomal RNA (2892 nucleotides) under Staphylococcus aureus. Its description in RNAcentral is "partial 23S ribosomal RNA". It matches the Rfam family "Bacterial large subunit ribosomal RNA". The record is from RNAcentral. Lineage: Bacteria; Bacillati; Bacillota; Bacilli; Caryophanales; Staphylococcaceae.